UAUACUUCCGCCACGUAAAGGAUGUUUUCGCGGAUUUUUCUUUUCUCGAAAUGCAUUCAUCAGUAGCAAUUAACGUUUGCUUUGCGUUUUUCUGAAAUAUGCCGCAGCGAAUAUUAUAAAUGGACAUGUCGGACCCAACCAUGAGGCGUUACGUUUUAAUGCAGAAGGACUCUUCCAUGUGAUUUGGGACUUGCCGCCAGAAGCUUUGAAUACAAAACUUAUUCCGCGAAGAAAACAUCAAAACAAACCUUACUUCAAGUUAAAAAGAACUAUGGAUGUGAAACAGAUAUGACAAAGGGGAGGUAACUCUGCUUGUUGCCAACAUGAACUGCAGCAGCUUGUCAGAGGUGUCCAGUCUCCACGAUGCUGCGGACAGUCCAUCAACUGACAUCUCGAGGCUGCUCAACCCGUCCCUGUCUGAUGACAAAGCAGAUCAGAUCUCUUCUGAUAUUGGCUUGGACUUUGGUGAAUCCUCCAAAUUUGACCCAGAUUCAGUUUUAGGAUCUUCCUAUUCUUUGGUCAGAGAAGGUGAUGACCCUGAUGACCUUGAACUAUCAAUAACUCCAAAUUUUGAGACAGGUCUGUCAUGUAGCCCACCAUCUUGUUUUGACAAUGUCUCAGUCUCAUCAGCUUCAGCUAUUUCAGCCAGUAAUAGCUCCUUGCCGAUUUCUGUCACGUCAGCCAUCCCAUCAUUAACAGCUGCCUCAACAGGAGGCUCCAGCCAUGGUCAUGUUCCAGGGGUCCAGCUUCUCAGUCCUCUGAAUGCUGGACCAGUUGUGAUAGGGAACAUGACCGCCCAGACACUGGUGUCCGCAGUGCUAAAUGCCAAGAAGUCCGAGUCUCCGCAGUCCGGGAUGAAUUCUGUGUCCGUAACACCAGCAGCUGCAGGAAUCUGGGUGCUGAACACUCCACCAAUCAGCAUCAACCCAGACAUUCUCAAUCUUGUCAAGCCGGUAACGCUUCCAUCGUCUGUACAGACAAUGGCUACUGCUUCGGGGCAGGAUGUGGUUAAGGUUGGUUCAGACGACACCUGCAAGAGUAGUGCAUCCUAUACAGAAACUGUGACUGUACCGAUGCCUUCUUCUUAUUGCCAGACCUCUCUUGGGAGUAGUCUGCUUGGUAAAGAACAUUCAAACAAGGAUGUGAUACAUUUUCCAUUUGGAGCUUCAGGUUCUUCUAAAGGUGUUGCCAACAUGACAGAAGCUACGGAGGUGUCUAGUGCUCUACAAGAAGGGACACACAUGGUGUUGAAGUCGCAAGACACACAUGAAGCUAAUCCUACCUCAUUCCUUAGACUAGAAGACAUUCUUAUGAAAAACAAUUGCUCAGGUUCGACAAACUUAAUUCAAACAGAAAUACCUCGGGUUGUCUCAGACAGUGAUAUGGACAAAAGCUCAGUGAAACGCAUGGUUCUUUCAAAAUCUGAAGGUUCAGAGUCCAAUUCUUUUUCAGAGCUGUUCAGUUUUCAGGACUUGCCAUCAAAUGCAGGAGUGACCCAAACAAAACAGCUGUCAGACUGCCUCCCUCUGACCAACCUACUGACUCUAACUCCAGAUCAGCCAAUCCUCCAGUGUUCAUCAUCCGAGGAGCUCCAGGAGGUCGAGGACAGGGCAUCAUCGAAAGAAGCACAAAAGGAAAACAACUCAAAUGACACUAAAGAACUUUCAAGGACAGUUGAGAUGAGGAAACACUGUGCUCCUUCAACUCUGAUAAUUGAGGGUCUUCAGGAAGGGUCGAGACUGGUCAAGGAACUGCCGUCUCAUAAAGUUCCCAUUCUUCCGAAAGAUACGGAUGGGAAAGAGGUGAAGGUGACUGUGCCCAUCAUGUGUGAGGAGAAAUCAACACCGGUGUUAGUACAUCUUAUACGUAAUAGUGCUUUUUCCAGCAAAGAUGUUUUAUAUUGUCAGAACAUCACAACAACUCUGACGGAAGACCUCGGCCAUGAGAUUACCGAUGCUGAUCUGGAUGACUCUGUGGAUGACUCGUUAGAUACAGAGGUUGUUGAUAUGGAUGCAGAGAAGGGGGACAGGCAGAGACAGGGCAAAGAGGAGCCACCUCUUCAAUUAGCUGACAUUGUUCCACAAACUUCACCAACAAGGAAAAAGUAUAAACGAGUUGUGGACAAGGAAAAAGUGUUCAAGUGUGACUUGUGUAGUGCACAGUUUGAUGUUCUGGGGAAUUACACGCGGCAUCGGAAAAUCCACAAGGUUAACAAUGAGAACAAGUACAAGUGUCCGACCUGUGAGCUGAGCUUCAUCCAGAGAUGUGACAUGAAGAGGCAUAUGCUGAUCCACACAAAGCAGGAGCCUCACAAGUGUCAAGUGUGUGGCAAAGGCUAUAUCCGGAAGAGUGACUUGGUCGUACACAUGCGGUUCCACAGCAAAGAUCGACCAUUCAAGUGUACACAGUGCUCAAAGGACUACUACCAGUCAGGUGAUUUAAAACGUCAUAUUCGGGCAAUACACAGCCAAGAGAGCAUGUUAUCCUGCGGUCACUGUCGUCGACAAUACGCGAAGGAAGCGACGUUGAUCCGUCACAUGCAGACUGAGCACAAAGACAUCAUCCUGAAAUCACUGAAGCAGAAACUGGCAGACGACAAGAAUAAAGAUGACAGCCCCAUGGAUCAAGAUGAAUCAGUGGAAAGCAGCAGCUGAUUGGGAGUGUAUGUUUGUUGCAGGUUUCCUUUCAACUUGAUUUGAUGUUAUUACUGUCACACUUUCAGAUGAACUCAUAUUUAUAUUAGAAAGCUAUCCACCCUUUACCAACUGCAGGCAGUUUUCUAGCAAAAUAACUAAGGCUACAGAAAGUUGACUGGAUAAGGUCUAUAGCCACAGAAAGUUGACUGGAUAAGGUCUAUAGCCACAGAAAGUUGUCUGG
RNAcentral lists this unclassified non-coding RNA (2877 nucleotides) under Haliotis rubra (blacklip abalone). RNAcentral describes it as "uncharacterized LOC124269160, transcript variant X1". Lineage: Eukaryota; Metazoa; Mollusca; Gastropoda; Lepetellida; Haliotidae. The record is from RNAcentral.